GACGAACGCUGCGGCGUGCUUAACACAUGCCAGUCGAACGGAAAGGCCCUGCUUGCAGGGUACUCGAGUGGCGAACGGGUGAGUAACACGUGGGUGAUCUGCCCUGCACUUCGGGAUAAGCUUGGGAAACUGGGUCUAAUACCGGAUAGGAGCCAUCUUUAGUGUGGUGGUUGGAAAGUUUUUUCGGUGUAGGAUGAGCUCGCGGCCUAUCAGCUUGUUGGUGGGGUAAUGGCCUACCAAGGCGGCGACGGGUAGCCGGCCUGAGAGGGUGUACGGCCACAUUGGGACUGAGAUACGGCCCAGACUCCUACGGGAGGCAGCAGUGGGGAAUAUUGCACAAUGGGCGCAAGCCUGAUGCAGCGACGCCGCGUGGGGGAUGAAGGCCUUCGGGUUGUAAACUCCUUUCGCUAGGGACGAAGCUUUGUUGUGACGGUACCUAGAUAAGAAGCACCGGCUAACUACGUG
Molecule: ribosomal RNA, 465 nt
Filed under: uncultured bacterium
Lineage: Bacteria
Description: partial 16S ribosomal RNA
Rfam family: Bacterial small subunit ribosomal RNA
Source: RNAcentral